RNAcentral lists this ribosomal RNA (380 nucleotides) under uncultured eukaryote. Its description in RNAcentral is "partial 18S ribosomal RNA". It matches the Rfam family "Eukaryotic small subunit ribosomal RNA", at positions 592 to 976 of the family's 1831-position model. The record is from RNAcentral.
CAAUAGCGUAUAUUAAAGUUGUUGCAGUUAGAACGCUCGUAGUCGGAUUUCGGGGCGGGCCGACCGGUCUGCCGAUGGGUACGCACUGGUCGGCGCGUCCUUCCUUCCGGAGACCGUGCCUACUCUUAACUGAGCGGGGGCGGGAGACGGAUCGUUUACUUUGAAAAAAUCAGAGUGUUUCAAGCAGGCAGCUCGCUCUUGCAUGGAUUAGCAUGGGAUAAUGAAAUAGGACUUUGGUGCUAUUUUGUUGGUUUCGAACACCGAAGUAAUGAUUAACAGGGACAGUCAGGGGCACUCGUAUUCCGCCGAGAGAGGUGAAAUUCUCAGACCAGCGGAAGACGAACUACUGCGAAANCANNNGCCAGGGAUGUUUUCACNGA